UACUAGAGUAGCACUCGCAUAUCAAUAAGCGGAGGAAAAGAAACUAACAAGGAUUCCCUAGUAACGGCGAGUGAAGCGGGAAGAGCUCAAAUUUGAAAUCUUAAAGGGUUUCCCUUUACGAAUUGUAGUUUAAAGAAGUGUUUUCUGUUGAGGUUUUGGUAAAAGUUCUUUGGAAUAGGACAUCAUAGAGGGUGAGAAUCCCGUAUUUGACCUUUACUUUCAACUUUGUGAUACACUUUCAAAGAGUCGGAUUGUUUGGGAAUGCAGUCCAAAAUGGGUGGUAAAUUUCAUCUAAAGCUAAAUAUUGGCGAGAGACCGAUAGCGAACAAGUACCGUGAGGGAAAGAUGAAAAGAACUUUGAAAAGAGAGUUAAACAGUACGUGAAAUUGUCAAAAGGGAAGCGUUUGACACCAGUGUUGUUUUUCUGAAAAUCAAUUGAAGAACUGUUUAUGCUAAGUUGUUUAGACUUUAUCAGCUAUCUGUUUAGUUUUGAGCUUUUCUUUAAUGCACCUUUCAGUUAACAAGUCAACAUCAAUUUCUUUUGCUGUAAAAAAGCUUGAGGAAGGUGGCUUGAGAUUCGUCUUAAGUGUUUAUAGCCUCUUGCCUAGUGCAGUCGGAGAGAUUGAGGUCUGCAGCGUAGAUCCUUCGGGGCUAAAUGCAUUUGUGCUAAGUUAUAGCAUUUUAUAGACAACUUGUUGACUAUGAUUUGUCUUGUAGCUUACUCGCUUAUGUUAUUUUACCUACGCUUAGGAUGUUGAGCGCAUGUCUCUCUCU
RNAcentral lists this ribosomal RNA (774 nucleotides) under uncultured Neocallimastigales. RNAcentral's name for it is "partial large subunit ribosomal RNA". It matches the Rfam family "Eukaryotic large subunit ribosomal RNA", at positions 20 to 616 of the family's 3401-position model. The record is from RNAcentral. Lineage: Eukaryota; Fungi; Neocallimastigomycota; Neocallimastigomycetes; Neocallimastigales.